CCCAAAUAAUAGCUUCAGGGCUCUCAUUUUCCAUUUCUUGGCUCUGCUUUUUCUGUGUUGCCUCAUUUCCUUCAGUAGUAAAUAGACACUCUAGAGUUGUGAAGGGAGGUUCCAUGCUUCCAGUGUCCCAUCCUAGCAAACCCAAGAGCAAGAGCACCUCUUUUCUUUCUAACUGUUCUAGCAGAAAAUCCCCAUGACGGAUCUUACUGAUGGUACUGAGUCUGCGCCCACCCCUAACCCAUCACUGUUUGAAGGCAAGGGUUAUGUCGAGUUGGACCACUCAGAUUAGCUGUAACCUGCCAAGGACAGGAUGAGGAGUAGGGUCAGCUCCGCCACUUGUGGGUGCUCUGGUGCACCACCCAACUUCCCCAUUUGGGAUGGUGCCACUCAUUCCCCCAGCUGCUGGGAGUAGCGGCAGGUGAUGCCUCGCAGCCAAGUCCCUCUCUGGGAACUACCCUUAGCCCAGCACCCCUUCCAGGGUCAGCUCUCAUUCAGUGAUUGAUGUGGGGUGUAUAAGAUCUGAACCCCAGUGCCCUUGCCUCGAUUUGGGACAUCUAAGAGUGAUCCCAGCUCCAAAGGAUCUGGGUCAUCUGAGGCCUUUACGGCAACCACUUCACAGUUCAGCUCCCUCUGCCCAAUCUCCACUUCCUGGACUCCCCCACCGGUGUUGGCUUUAACACUCCCAAUGUACUUGCUGCAUGAAAAUCUCCAUCUCAGAGUCUGUUUUUCUGGGGAACCUAAUCCACAUGGACUUAAGGGGAAGUGGGGUGGUUCCCCAAAGGAAAACCAGGAUGCUGAUACCAGAAGGGAGCCAGAGGCAGACAAAAACAAAUAUACCUUGCAUCAAUUAUUUUUAAUGACUGCAUGGUAUUCCAUUGUACUAGAUCAUUAUUUACCUACUGCCCUAUUUAACACUAUGAUGACCCUCUUGAACAUAUAGCUUUGUGCGUGUCUGUUUUACUUCCUUAGGAUGCAUUCCUAAAAUUGGAAUUGAUGAAUCAAAGAAUAUAAACAGUUUUAAAAACAUUUCCCUACUAUAUCCUCUAGAAGAUGGUAGCACCUGCUAUUCGCACCAAAGGCUACCUAUUGCUCUACACCCUCACAAGUCUCUUAAAUGUCUCAACUGUUGAGGCUGAACAUUUCUGUUCAUUUUGUGAGCUCUAUGUUCAGUAUUUGGGGUGUUAAGAGUUUUUAUCUAUAAGAAGAGCAGAUUUGCAAAUUUUAAAGCCCUCUUUAGUGGUUAAGUUACCUCACUACAAAGAACUUAACAUAUAUUCUAGUCAAAAGAUGACAGUACAUGUUAGAAACAUUACUAAAUUAGUAAGACAGAAAUGUCAUGUGUCAAAAAGAUGUAGCAAAGAACUCAGAGCAAAGAUACAGUCUGGAAGGAUUAGAAAAAGCUCUUCAUAGAUGAUGAUGCUUAGACCUUGAGAAUCUGUCCUGCAGAUGGCGUAGAGAGCACAGGGGGAAACUUUCCAACAAGAGGAGAGGAGGCCAGGCACACGUGGAAUGACCGAAUGGAAAAGGCUGUUGUGAAUAACAGAAGAUACAAAACUGUUAAAACUGAAAGUCACAGAAAACCUCAAAAAGAGACAGAAGUUUGUGACAAAAGGUGGGGUAGCCACAUGCCUGGCUGGAAUGAGGCCCCUGAUAGGACUGUGAAGGCAGGAGAAGAAACUCAGAAGAGUAAAUCAACAGUACUUCCGGUGGUUAUGAAAUGCAAAGAAAAGGAGGCAGUGGCAUCUGAAGCAGCAAGUGGGCUGAAACUGACAUUUGUGACAGAAAUUCGGAAACGGCUAGGUUUUACGAGAGGAGUAAAGAACAAAGAUGAGUUUGGCUUAGGAGAAACUACAUCAACUGCACUACCAUGUGCCUCUAGGCUGUAAAAAAUGUUUAGUGGCACAAUGCUGAUGUGAGAGACAUUUGCAUAGCGCAAUGACAGCUGAAGAAAUGAGAUUCUAACUAACUAGAAGUGGCUGUGGGGUUGCCCACAGUGAGGGGACACACAAUGUAUACUUUGUGUCAGCCAUGAAGUAGCAGAAAAAGUCCAGGGGUGUGCCCCAUCUCCUUCCCUCAAGCCCGUACAAGCCCACCUCCCCUGCCCACCUCUGUAUGAAACACUAUGAUUGACUUUUGCACUCUUCUUGGAGAGAAGUAGUCUGGCUUGAAACAACCAGGUUUUAGCAUACAGCCUCCUUCAGUGAUGCAUGGACUAGCAGCCUAGAUGCCACUUGUAAUUAAGGAGGACUGACCAUCUGUGCUUCGCUUUAUACUUUACAAUAUCUUCUCAUCGACUAUUUUUGAUCUAUUUUCUUCGAUCAUGGAACUUCAGAGUGGAGAAACCUUGAGAUAAUAUAGUCCACCCUCAACUUUAGAGAUGAGGAAAUAAGUGUUCUUCAGUAAAUGUAAGCCUUGAACUAGCAAGCAGCUGACUACUCUGUUGUCUCUGAAAGUUUAUUCUUUCCUGAGUUGUCUCAGCUUCUUCACCUUGUACUGAAAGGCACAAGGGGCAGCCAGUUGCUUUUAAAACAGUGCCAACACUACAGAGCAUCAUCACUUGUUCACUCUACCACAGUACCUUGCAUAAGAACUUUGAAGCACAGUUAUUUUUCUGAGGGAAGAAGAGAGAAGAAUCAUAAUCCUUCUGUUAAGGAGAGUCCAUUCAUCUUGACCCAUGCAGUUGCCAUGAUUGAAAAAAAACUAAGAACUUUUACCAAAUGAACAGGCUAUUGCUGGGGGCAAUUCCAGGAAUGACAUUUCUAGAAAGUCAGGAAGAAAUGCAGCAAUCUAGCAGG
Manis pentadactyla (Chinese pangolin) is the source of this 2795-nucleotide long non-coding RNA. RefSeq lists it as uncharacterized. The record is from RefSeq and is a predicted model, not a curated record. Lineage: Eukaryota; Metazoa; Chordata; Mammalia; Pholidota; Manidae. The transcript has 3 exons.